Molecule: non-coding RNA, 48 nt
Organism: Schistosoma curassoni
Lineage: Eukaryota; Metazoa; Platyhelminthes; Trematoda; Strigeidida; Schistosomatidae
Source: Rfam
AUCCAGCUACCGACGAGUCCCAAACAGGACGAAAUUCGCGUUCUGGAU